CAGGCCCCUGACUUUCAGUGACUAAACAAGUAACAUAUUUUUCCUCACACAGUAAAUACGGUGGUAAGCAUUUGCGGGAGUUGUGUCAGCUGCUCCAUGAUGUCUGCAAAGAUCUAGGCUUUUUUCUUUAUUUCUAUCUUUUAUGUCUUCAGGCUUGUUUUGUCAAACAGCUUCAGGCAUCCCAUUCACACUAAAUGCAAGGAGAUGGAUGGUGGAGUGGGGAUGAGGCUUCUCCGCUCUUGGCUAUCCCUUUGAUCAGGAAAGCAGAAACUUUCUCAGAAGCCCCAGCAAAUAUUCUCUUCCAUCCCUUUGGCCACAACCGGUCACAUGGCCACCCCUAGCUGCAAGGGAGGCUGACAGGGUCCUUGGCAUUCCACAUUCAAUAGAGGAGGCUGCAGGGGAGAAGGAGGCCAGUAACUGCUGUCAUUCAUGCUGUUGGCCACAACAUACCCCUUGCUUGGAAAAUUGUAUAACAGUUUAAUUGUGUAAUUUCUACUCAGUGGCUCUUCACAUCCUCAGUGUUAAAGUCGUUGUUGAGUUGAAAAAUGAUACUUGCUUCAUAGGAAUUUUGUGCCUUCACAUUGACUUUCAAACUCCUGUGCAAGAAAUCUUAGUUUCUUAGCUGGUAACAGCUAUAAAAGAGUAAUAUAUAUAUACAUACACACACACACACACACAUAUGCAUACCAUUUGAGGGUCAGUUACAACAUGGUCUCUGGCCCCUAAAUACUCAGCGUUUGUUUCCUAAGAAGAGGGACAUUUUCAUAUCCAGUGUAGUUAAGUAUAGUUAUUGACAAUAAUAUGUUUAACAUUGUUAGAAUAUUUUAAUUUAUUAUUCCUACCCCAAUUUUGUCAGUUGAUCCAAUACAUUUCUUUUUGGUGUUUUCCGUAUGGAAUACAGUCUAGAGUUUGGUAUUGCAUUUUGUUAUCAUGUCUCGUUAGCCCCUUUAAUCUGGAACAUUCCCUGUGGUACUGCUUCUUCUGGAGCCUCUUUCUCCUGCUGCCUCAUGCUAACAUUUUUUUUAAACAUUUUGGUCUCAGGGCCCCUUUACACUCUUAAAAAUUACUGAGGACCCCAAAGAAACUUUAGUUUCAUGGGUGCUAUUUAUCAAUAUUUACAUUAGAAAUUAAAACUGAGAAAUUUAAAAAGUAUUUUAAUUCACUUAAAAUACCAAUAGUAAACCCUUUACAUGUUAACAUAAAUAACAUACUUUUAUGAAAAAAUAACUAUUUUCCAGAACAACAAAAAAAUGUUUAAUGAAAAAAGCAGCAUCGUGUUAUAUUUUUGCAACUGAUUUUCAUGUCUGGCCUAAUAGAAAACAGCUGGAUUCUGAUUUCUGUGUGUUUUCUAUCUGUUGCAGUAAGUUGUUUUGGCUGAAAUAUGUGGAGAAAAUCCAGCCAAAUCCAGAUAUGUAGUUGGAAAGGGGAGGCAUAUUUUAAUAUCAUUUUCAGAAAAUUGUGGCUAGUCUUUGGUACCACACCACAAUUUGAUAUAUGAAAGUUUCUGAAAAGCUAGUUGCAAUGUGAAAUCUGAAAUCAUAUUAAUGAAUAUUUCAUAUUGUCUUACAUUAAAAUCAUUUGGUCUAUCUUGCAUUUUGAAUUGAUGUUUAACCCACACAUGAUAUUAUUGGUCAUUUGGAAACUACUAGUUCAUUGAAUUAUGCAGAUCUUUCAAGUAUUGACACAUUUCAUUAUACAACAUCCCCAAAUCACUUUUGUAAACAUCACCACUAAUUUGAGAAAAAUCUCUUUAAGUACUGGGAAGCUCUCAAGUUCACAGCGACCGAUAACAAGUUUUCCAAAAUUCCGAUUUAUCUUGAAAGCUUGAAUUUAUCAUUUGAUCACUUAAUUUCCCUCAAAGUGAUAGAUAGGCUUACUUUCUUCAUUUUCAAGAAAAUGUCUAUCAUGUCCCCGAAUCUGAGUAUCCACAGUCACUCUUUCUUUGAAGCAAAAAUGGCAUCCCACUCGGGAGGCUGAGGCAGGAGAAUGGCGGGAACCCGGGAGGCGGAGCUUGCAGUGAGCCGAGAUCACACCACUGCACUCCAGCCUGGGCCACAGAGCGAGACUCCGUCUCAAAAAAAAAAAAAAAAAAAA
This 2094-nucleotide long non-coding RNA is filed under the name Macaca fascicularis (crab-eating macaque). RNAcentral's name for it is "lncRNA (ENSMFAG00000048753.1)". The record is from RNAcentral. Lineage: Eukaryota; Metazoa; Chordata; Mammalia; Primates; Cercopithecidae.